AGUGAACGCUGGCGGUAGGCCUAACACAUGCGAGUCGAACGGCAGCACAGUAAUAGCUUGCUCUUACGGGUGGCGAGUGGCGGACGGGUGAGGAAUACAUCGGAAUCUACUUUUUCGUGGGGGAUAACGUAGGGAAACUUACGCUAAUACCGCAUACGACCUACGGGUGAAAGCAGGGGAUCUUCGGACCUUGCGCGAUUGAAUGAGCCGAUGUCGGAUUAGCUAGUUGGCGGGGUAAAGGCCCACCAAGGCGACGAUCCGUAGCUGGUCUGAGAGGAUGAUCAGCCACACUGGAACUGAGACACGGUCCAGACUCCUACGGGAGGCAGCAGUGGGGAAUAUUGGACAAUGGGCGCAAGCCUGAUCCAGCCAUACCGCGUGGGUGAAGAAGGCCUUCGGGUUGUAAAGCCCUUUUGUUGGGAAAGAAAAGCAGCAGGUUAAUACCCCGCUGUUCUGACGGUACCCAAAGAAUAAGCACCGGCUAACUUCGUG
Molecule: ribosomal RNA, 492 nt
Filed under: uncultured bacterium
Lineage: Bacteria
Description: partial 16S ribosomal RNA
Rfam family: Bacterial small subunit ribosomal RNA
Source: RNAcentral